RNAcentral lists this ribosomal RNA (637 nucleotides) under uncultured archaeon. Its description in RNAcentral is "bacterial SSU rRNA". It matches the Rfam family "Archaeal small subunit ribosomal RNA", at positions 80 to 715 of the family's 1478-position model. The record is from RNAcentral.
GGCAUACGGCUCAGUAACGCGUAGUCCAUCCUAACCUAUGGACGGGAAUAACCUCGGGAAACUGAGAAUCAAUCGCCCGAUAGAACAUUAUGCCUGGAAUGGUUUAUGUUCCAAAUGAUUUAUCGCCGUAGGAUGGGACUGCGGCCUAUCAGUUUGUUGGUGAGGUAAUGGCCCACCAAGACUAUUACAGGUACGGGCUCUGAGAGGAGUAGCCCGGAGAUGGGUACUGAGACACGGACCCAGGCCCUAUGGGGCGCAGCAGGCGAGAAAACUUUGCAAUGUGCGAAAGCACGACAAGGUUAAUCCGAGUGGUUUCUGCUAAAGGAACCUUUUGUCAGUCCUAGAAACACUGAUGAAUAAGGGGUGGGCAAGUUCUGGUGUCAGCCGCCGCGGUAAAACCAGCACCUCAAGUGGUCAGGAUGAUUAUUGGGCCUAAAGCAUCCGUAGCCGGCUCUGUAAGUUUUCGGUUAAAUCCGUACGCUCAACGUACAGGCUGCCGGGAAUACUGCAAAGCUAGGGAGUGGGAGAGGUAGACGGUACUCGGUAGGAAGGGGUAAAAUCCUUUGAUCUAUUGAUGACCCCCUGUGGCGAAGGCGGUCUACCAAAACACGUCCGACGGUGAGGGAUGAAAGCUGGG